UGACGGUACUUGACUAAGAAGCUCCGGCUAAAUACGUGCCAGCAGCCGCGGUAAUACGUAUGGAGCAAGCGUUAUCCGGAUUUACUGGGUGUAAAGGGAGCGUAGACGGCGAGGCAAGUCUGAUGUGAAAGCCAUGGGCUCAACCCAUGAACUGCAUUGGAAACUGUUUUGCUUGAGUGUCGGAGAGGUAAGCGGAAUUCCUAGUGUAGCGGUGAAAUGCGUAGAUAUUAGGAGGAACACCAGUGGCGAAGGCGGCUUACUGGACGAUAACUGACGUUGAGGCUCGAAAGCGUGGGGAGCAAACAGGAUUAGAUACCCUG
RNAcentral lists this ribosomal RNA (320 nucleotides) under uncultured bacterium. RNAcentral's name for it is "bacterial SSU rRNA". It matches the Rfam family "Bacterial small subunit ribosomal RNA", at positions 470 to 789 of the family's 1533-position model. The record is from RNAcentral.